AACGAACGUUAGCGGCGCGCCUAACACAUGCAAGUCGAGCGAGAAAGGGCUUCGGCCCCGGUAAAGCGGCGCACGGGUGAGUAACACGUGGGUAACCUGCCCUCGGGUUGGGGAUAACAUUCCGAAAGGAGUGCUAAUACCGAAUAAGACCACGACCUCGAAAGAGGAUGCGGUCAAAGCUGGCCUCUAUACAUAAGCUAGCGCCUGAGGAUGGGCCCGCGGCGCAUCAUGGUAGUUGGUGAGGUAACGGCUCACCAAGCCGAAGACGCGUAGCUGGUCUGAGAGGAUGAUCAGCCACACUGGAACUGAGACACGGUCCAGACUCCUACGGGAGGCAGCAGUGGGGAAUCUUGCGCAAUGGGCGAAAGCCUGACGCAGCGACGCCGCGUGAGUGAUGAAGGCCUCGGUUGUAAGCUCUGUGGGAGGAGACGAAUAAGUAGCGGGCGUAAUACUCCGCAUGAUGACGG
Molecule: ribosomal RNA, 467 nt
Filed under: uncultured bacterium
Lineage: Bacteria
Description: bacterial SSU rRNA
Rfam family: Bacterial small subunit ribosomal RNA
Source: RNAcentral